GCCAUGAAAUGGCCUGUGCUCUGCUCUGGGAAGACCACAAGAGACAAUCAAUAGCUCAGGCUCUACUUUCUCAUUUAACAGUGGCCUUUUGUUCUAAAAGACUAACAAGGCAUGUUCUUAGCUCAGGGAGUCAGAAAAAACAACUUAAUUUCUGGCAUUGAACUUCUCUGAUCCAAAAGAGAUGAUGUAUUUUUGCUUCACUGUUCCUUCACCCGCAAAAUAGGGGCAGCGUCACAGGAGCAUAAGGCCCUUGAAAUGUUUAUGUCAUAAUGAUGCAAAGGUGUUUUUUAUAUUUAGAAGUACCUCCUCUUCUUCUACGGAUGGAUGAAAUUCAAGACUCUUCAGACAUGCAUUUGCAGUGCUGCAAAUGGAGGAGAGACUCUUUCCCCGAUGGAAUCUUUGGAAGAUGUCUUUGGCUGGUGCCUCCUGGGAAGGUGUUAACGUCUCUCUGUGAAACAUUGGCAGUGUGGGACCUUUCAGAAGACCAUCAUCUGCGCAGGAACCUCAUUCACUAGCUGUUGGGCCUGGUUCUCUGGUGUCUUACAUCAGGGAGAUGUCUAACUGCCUCACAGAGAAGUCAUUGCUCCUGCCGUUAAUGAAAAAGGAUUCAUGAUCAUUUCCAGACCAGGAGGAGGAAGAUGGCCAGCUACUGUGAGUGCAGGACACCUCCAGCUGUUGCACCUCUGAAGCCAGGGAGUUUUUUUCAUUUUCUUUAUUUAUACACCCUACCACCCUGCUCUCCUGCACAGAUGAAAAAGGAAAGUGUUGCAUUUGGGGUGGGGUGGGGAGGGGGGAUACCCCCAAUCCUCACCUCAGGAAUCAAAUUGCAGAUGCUCAGCAUGGCAAAGUGCUGGUGGUGUGAGGAGUGGAAAACAAGGGGAGAGAUUCUCCUCCAGCUUCCUCACGUUCUGUCCCUCCUUCUCCUCACGCCCCGUCCUCUCUCUGUGUCUCAUGUCCUCACCGCAGCAUGGUUUGUCUGAAGGAAGCUGAGUCAGCGAGGCACUGAAAUUGGGGUUUUAUCUCCCAUCAAGGCUGCCUGAAAGAGGAUGCUGCUUGACUAGUGGUCCUGCAGGAAACUUUCUUUGUGGCAGCUGCUGGUUUUAAUGAAGCAAGUCGGUACAUUGCUUUGAUGGCAUCUGCUUCUUUUUUGCUCGGUGUGCAAAAGCUCAACCCUGAGUAGCAGACAUCCUCUGGAUACAGGCAAGCAUAAAUUAAGGUCUCUGCCUAAUCACAGACUAUGAACCUCAGCAUUCUUCUGGUAUUUUUUUUCAGUUUAUAAUUGAUAGUAUAGCGGUGGUGUGCUGCUUCUGAGACAGCCCAGCUUGCAAAAACACAUUUCUCCAUAUUCCUUCCCUUUCCACCAACUGUGCCUUCAGGGAGACUCUCUGGGAGGCUGCUGGGGCACUGAGGCCAUGUCAGGCCUGGGGGUGAACACAGAGGCUGAGCCAACCGCGAUUUCUGAACUGGGAUCUGCAGCCCUCCUUGAGAACCGAGAGACAGUGGAGUCUGACAGGUAGUGUUUGUGCCCAUGUGACCCAAGGGAAUCAGCUGGGGCAGGGACAUAUACAGCAUCAUUUGCACGAGGGACUAAAGCUACAAAGCUUGUGAAAAAAUUAAAGUCUCAGUUCUGCUUUUUAUCAGAAGGUUUCUCACAAGAUGAAUCUGAUGUGUAGACAGAGUAGUGAGCUGAUAUAUAGCUGGGCAUGAGGCACAGCAGAUGUGUCCAUGACACACCACUGAAAUCAAACACAGUCCUCACUGUGUAUCUCUCACUUUUGCUUCCAUGUCCAUGCUUUACUCCAUGGACUGUAACUCAUCAUUUAGUUUCCUAGUGCCUGUUUCUUUCCUUUCUUAUUUUUUUUAGACUGACUCUGUCUUCUCUGUGGACUUUCUUUCUGUUCUUGUACUUCUUCUGAGCCUUUCAGUUCUAAACAAUCUUUCACUCUCUUUCCAUCUUCCCUUUCUCUCCCUCUAUUCCCCCUCCACUUUAUCUCAUCUGACUACUCCCAUCAAGAUAUUUUUUUAAAGUAAGUUUAAAAUUAACUGGUUCAAAAAUCUCUUCCCUCCUAGACCUCCUUGACCCCAUCAUUGUGUUUGACCCACCCUGGAAGACAGGCCAUCUGCGAGUGCCCCAGUUGCCUGCUCUCUUGUCUCUUGUAACCGUCCUCAUAUGAGAAAUGCACUCUCAUCACUUACUCCAGUCAAUGUUCUUCACAACUGGUCAGUCUCUGCCCCCUUCCCUGAUAAACCAGUCGAACCCUUUUUGAUGGUUCUUGGUCCACACCUGCAGUUUCAGUGGGAACAUAUAUGCCCUUCUGUCUCUUGUAAUUACUGGAUACAUGUAGUCUUUGUUCUGCCACCCUCACGUAUGUCUCAUGAGCAGCAAUUAUACCAUUGUUUUAAAAUCCCCAGUCAGUUUGUGAGGUGCAGCUUCAGACAUGCCAUGUCUUAAACAUCAGCUUCACCACAAGUAUGUAGUGCAAGACAGAGGCGGUAACCCAGCUGCUCUGUAUCGGCUAUGCAUACUCAUUCCUCCAUGCAGUCACCAUUGCCUUGUUUCCACCUUGUCCCAACCUCCUCCUGGCCUUCUCAGAGCUCCAAUAGGCUCUCAGCUGUUCCCAUUUUUGGUUUCACUGUCCCCAUAAGCCCACAAGAACCACAGAGUUGCAGGGUUCAAAGGCAGACUGGUCUCGGGGGCAGGAGAGGAGCAAGGCAGAGGCACUAGACUUUUCUGAAUCCACUGACAUUUGUCAAGUGACUUGCAAUGUAUUUCCUUCCAAGUACUUGUCCAGUCUCCUCUUGAACUGAUGAAAAUGAUUUUUGUCCUUUGUGUUCUUCUGCAAGGAGUUCCACAGCUCUGCAGCACUGCAGUUGUGUCUUCCUAAUACCAAAGCCUUGCUCCUCAAUAGGAAAUUAUCAGCUCCAGGACCAAAAUCUGAUGUGUGAAACUAGGACUGGUUUUCAUGGUGUUCUAUUGCUUUAUCUUUAGCUAUGCUAAAUUUCACCUGACAUUUCAUACAGUCUCAUAAGAUGCUUCCGCAAUUUGUCACAACCUGCCCUUAUUACUUUAAAGAACUUUGUAUCAUAUGUGACCUUUGUCUCUCACUGCUCAUGCCCUUUUCCAUGUUAUUUAUGGGUAUUUUUAACAGAACAGACCUCAGUGCAGAUCCCUGAAAUUUCCACAGGUAACUUCCUUCUAUUGAGUGCAAUCACUAUUCCUUUUGUGUUCUGUUUCUUACCUUUCAGCUGUUUCUCUGUGCCAGGACUUCCUCCUCCCCCUGCCUCCUUAGUUUCCCUAAAAGUCUGUGGGGAGAGACUUUACUAGAUUAACUUUCAUCAACAUGUUUGUUAGUCCUUUCAAGAACUAUGAGAGAUUGGAGAGGCAGGAUUUCCAGAAGCCAUGUUGACUUUUACCGAGUACAUUAUAUCUAUUCAGAUCAUACUUCUUUAAGGUGUCCACUAGUUUGAUCUUUUAUUAUAAAUUUUAUUAUUUUGGCUGGUACAGACCUCACGCUCUCAGAUCUCUAGAUCCUCAGAUCCUCCUAGUACCUUUCUUAACCUUGGUGGCACAUUUGCUUCCUGACCAAGGAAGUGUUCAGUGAGAUGGACACUAUCUCAGUAAUUGUAUCUGGCCAUCCUUAGGUUGUCUUGAAUCUCUUGCCAUCUGCUCCUGUCAGUCUGGUGACCACCCAUUCCAUUGAUUUGUGCCAUGACUUCUUCAAUGCAAUCCCCCAAGAUUUUGGAGACAUUCUGGCCAAGUCCUCUCUCAAGAAGGUUCCCAUGUGGCAAUCUCCCAGUUUCUGCUACAAGAGAAGGAGGAGGGUAGGCACUGAACUCUACUCUUUAGUGACCAAUGACAGAACCUGAGGGAAUGGCAGGAAGAUGUGCCAGGGGAGGUUUAGGCUGGACGUUAGGAAAAGGUUCUUCACCCAGAGAGUAGUGGAGCACUGGAACGGGCUCCCCAUGGAGGUGUCACGGCUCCAAGCCCAACAGUGUACAAGAAGAGACUGGACAAAGCCCUCACCCAAACACACGGUGUGAACUGUGGGGUUUGUCCUAUGCAGGGACAGGAGUUGGACUCGAUGAUCCUUGUGGGUCCCUUCCAACUUAGGACAUUCUAUGAUUCUAAUGCACCUUGUUUCUCUGCAGUGGUCUUGUCCUCCCUGAGCACUGCUUUUAGACCCUGGACUUCAGCUGGCUCCACAGACUUCUGCAAAACUUUUUGAUCCUGAUGCACUGAAGCAGAGUUUAGAAGCAGCUUUAAUUCCUUUUAUGCUGUUGCCCCUUAAACUGUUUUGUUGUCUAAGUAUAUUUUUACAUUUAAUCCACUGGAGUCUAUUAUCACCAUUUGAAUAAGCUUCUUGAAUGACAGGGCACUGUUACUUAAGUAAGGAUGCUGGAUCUAAGUGUGUGAUGGUGAAAACACGGAGGGCUGUUUCCAUUUCAAGAUCUUGAACAGACUUUGUGCAUCGCUCUGUCCUGAGGACAGGGCUAGAUGUCCUCUGUGGAGUCACUAACCUGCUAUUGCCCAAAAACUAACCUGUGCUUCUUGUCUACAUGUGGGAAACAGCCAGUGCACAUGAGAGUGACUGAAUUUAUUCAGUACAAUCACUCUCCUGCUCUUGCUUCAUCUCUGAUUUCUCUCAACAUACUGCAGUCAGUGCUACCGUCCCUGUAAGACAAACAGUAAUACAGACUGAAUGCCACAUGAUCCCUUUUUAGGCUUGGAAAAUACAGGUUUAAUUGUGCUUAAAUAUCUGUAGUCUUGAGCAUGGUUUCUGAGAACAAUGGGUUUGGUACCAGGGUGCCAGAUAUUAACCUCUAUUUAUUCCAAUUAAAUUGAUAGUCUAGUUUUCAGUCUUAUUUUCUGUAAAUGUUCUCACUAGAAGAGCAAUCAAGGGACACAUUUGUAAUACAUCCUUGCCACUGUUUUUCUCUUGGAUCAGUAGGGUUCAUCGACAUAAAAAUAUUUCAGUUCUGUUUCCUGGUCAGACACGCCUUGAAAAUUAUAUACUUUCAACAUAAAGCAUAAUUGUGUAUGCGAAACGAGUGCUCAUUUUCCUUUAUAACAUGCUCCUCACAGCCUGUGGUCUGCUGUCAUCCUUACCCUUUCCCCUACUCCUUUACAACUGUUUCAAGAAAGAAAUAACCUCAGAAGUCUGGAAGUGUAACAUUUAACUGCCUGUGCAGUUUCUAACACAGCCCCUGUCCGUAUUUCAGCUGAGAUGCUGUAGCAUCCACCACUUGAGCACUUAAUGUCCAUAUUUUCACAGACAUCCCGGGCAGAAGAGCAUCCUGGCCUCCCCGUCUGCCCUGUAGCACACAGGGUCCAUCUGACAGAGCAAGUCCUACCGAGCUGGGUAUGGGGGGGUACCACACCACCCUUCAGAAAUUAAAACCAAAAGGAACAUUAGAAAGAAACUGAAGGACCGAGCAUCAAGCAAGCACCUCCUCUUCCAUCAUCUCCUCCUGUUGUCGCUGUAAUCCCCAAUACAAGCUGGCUGGAUAUGCAGAGAGCCUUUCACAAGAUUAUCUGUAUCAGUGCAGGCUUUGAAGUACAGGCUGCUGGCAUCUCAUUACAGACAGAGAUCAAAACCCUGAGAUUAACAUGGUCCUGGGCCUGCUGGACUUCAUUCACACAUCACAGAAGUGCUAAGCUAUCAAAGAGCAGGGCAGUGCUUGUGUGUUACGUUCUCAGCCAUAAAUCUGGCAGCACACACCCACUGCCAUUUAUUUUUUUAAAUAAAUGUGUCCUUUCGGUCUA
This is a long non-coding RNA of Columba livia (rock pigeon), 5764 nucleotides long. RefSeq lists it as uncharacterized. The transcript is spliced from 3 exons. Lineage: Eukaryota; Metazoa; Chordata; Aves; Columbiformes; Columbidae. The record is from RefSeq and is a predicted model, not a curated record.